AUUGAACGCUGGCGGAAUGCUUUACACAUGCAAGUCGAACGGUAGAGGGGGCAACCCCUCGAGAGUGGCGAACGGGUGAGUAAUAUAUCGGAACGUGCCCAGUCGUGGGGGAUAACGUAGCGAAAGUUACGCUAAUACCGCAUACGAUCUAAGGAUGAAAGCGGGGGAUCGCAAGACCUCGCGCGAUUGGAGCGGCCGAUAUCAGAUUAGGUAGUUGGUGGGGUAAAGGCUCACCAAGCCAACGAUCUGUAGCUGGUCUGAGAGGACGACCAGCCACACUGGAACUGAGACACGGUCCAGACUCCUACGGGAGGCAGCAGUGGGGAAUUUUGGACAAUGGACGCAAGUCUGAUCCAGCCAUUCCGCGUGCAGGAUGAAGGCCCUCGGGUUGUAAACUGCUUUUGUACGGAACGAAAAGAUCUCUCUUAAUACGGGGGGCUCAUGACGGUACCGUAAGAAUAAGCACCGGCUAACUACGUGCCAGCAGUCGCCGUAA
RNAcentral lists this ribosomal RNA (496 nucleotides) under uncultured bacterium. RNAcentral's name for it is "partial 16S ribosomal RNA". It matches the Rfam family "Bacterial small subunit ribosomal RNA", at positions 30 to 523 of the family's 1533-position model. The record is from RNAcentral.